This 694-nucleotide ribosomal RNA is filed under the name Paracoccus sp. BAB-5532. RNAcentral describes it as "bacterial SSU rRNA". It matches the Rfam family "Bacterial small subunit ribosomal RNA", at positions 12 to 752 of the family's 1533-position model. The record is from RNAcentral. Lineage: Bacteria; Pseudomonadati; Pseudomonadota; Alphaproteobacteria; Rhodobacterales; Paracoccaceae.
UUGAAUCCUGGCUCAGAACGAACGCUGGCGGCAGGCUUAACACAUGCAAGUCGAGCGAGACCUUCGGGUCUAGCGGCGGACGGGUGAGUAACGCGUGGGAACGUGCCCUUCUCUACGGAAUAGCCCCGGGAAACUGGGAGUAAUACCGUAUACGCCCUUUGGGGGAAAGAUUUAUCGGAGAAGGAUCGGCCCGCGUUGGAUUAGGUAGUUGGUGGGGUAAUGGCCCACCAAGCCGACGAUCCAUAGCUGGUUUGAGAGGAUGAUCAGCCACACUGGGACUGAGACACGGCCCAGACUCCUACGGGAGGCAGCAGUGGGGAAUCUUAGACAAUGGGGGCAACCCUGAUCUAGCCAUGCCGCGUGAGUGAUGAAGGCCUUAGGGUUGUAAAGCUCUUUCAGCUGGGAAGAUAAUGACGGUACCAGCAGAAGAAGCCCCGGCUAACUCCGUGCCAGCAGCCGCGGUAAUACGGAGGGGGCUAGCGUUGUUCGGAAUUACUGGGCGUAAAGCGCACGUAGGCGGACUGGAAAGUCAGAGGUGAAAUCCCAGGGCUCAACCUUGGAACUGCCUUUGAAACUAUCAGUCUGGAGUUCGAGAGAGGUGAGUGGAAUUCCGAGUGUAGAGGUGAAAUUCGUAGAUAUUCGGAGGAACACCAGUGGCGAAGGCGGCUCACUGGCUCGAUACUGACGCUGAGGU